This 910-nucleotide long non-coding RNA is filed under the name Musa acuminata (dwarf banana). RNAcentral describes it as "long non-coding RNA (MACU_LNC004463)". The stretch from base 290 to 389 matches the Rfam family "Small nucleolar RNA Z103". Lineage: Eukaryota; Viridiplantae; Streptophyta; Magnoliopsida; Zingiberales; Musaceae. The record is from RNAcentral.
CUUCUUUGUCGAUGGAUCCUACUUCACUUUCGUCUUUGUUUCUCGUUUUCCUUUUUCGGAUUUGGAAGAGAUCGGCGGAGGUGUUUCAUGAGAUGUGAUGAUCCUUUCCCCAAAUGAUCGACGAUGAAUACACUGCGCGUGUUUCUUUAUCUACCCCUCAUUUUUGAGGAGGAAGAUUCAAGCCAGCGAUUCUGAUCUCCAUCCCUCCAUCGUCUUCCUCCCUUUCUUGUUUUUUAGAUUCUCUGAUUUUUUUAUGCUUGUCAGCCGUUGUUGAUGCAUUAAUGGUCGUGGCGAGAUGAUGAUCCUUUCCCCAGAUGAUCGACUAUGAACAUACUGUGCGCUAUUGUUUUCUCCUUCAAGGAGAAGAUCAAGCCAGGUUUCUGAUCUCCGCGAUUGCCAACCAAUCCAAUGGCUGGCAUGGUGCAAUCGUUGAUCUCCUUUCCGAUGGCCAUUAGGGUUUCUCGUUUCCUUUCUAUAAGUAGCUCGCCUCCUCGUUUAAAGUUAAGGUUCCUCUUUCUUCGCGGAGGCUUCGUAGUCGAGAUCUCUAGAUUUCAUGAUCUUUUCGGCGUUAGAUUCUUAGCGUUUGUGUUCAUGUCUGUUGAUAAAUCCAUGAUUGGUUUCUUUCUUCUUUUUGUUUCAUUUUCUUUUCCGAUUUGGAAGAGAAUGAUGGAGGUGUUCUACGGGAUGUGAUGAUCCUUUCCCCAAAUGAUCGACGGUGAAUACACUGUGCAUUUUUCUUUGUCUCCUCAGAUUGGAGGAGGAAGAUUCAAGCCAGCGGUUCUGAUCUCCAUCCUUCCAUCUUCUGUUUUCCUUUUUUUAGUUUUGUUGAUUUCUGAUGCUUUGUUGCCGUUGAUGAUACAUCAAUGGUCGCGGCGAGAUGAUGAGCCUUUCCCCAGAUGAUCGACUAUGA